AUGCUCGCUUCGGCAGCACAUAUACUAAAAAUUGGGACAAUAUAGAGAAGAUUAGUGUGGCCCCCUGUGCAAGGAUGACAUGAUAAAAAUAAUUAAAAACAUAA
This 104-nucleotide small nuclear RNA is filed under the name Microcebus murinus (gray mouse lemur). Lineage: Eukaryota; Metazoa; Chordata; Mammalia; Primates; Cheirogaleidae. The record is from RNAcentral.